AAUGGGCGCAAGCCUGAUCCAGCAAUGCCGCGUGUGUGAAGAAGGCCUGCGGGUUGUAAAGCACUUUCAGUGGGGAAGAACGGAUGCGGGCCAAUACCCCGGAUCACUGACGUUACCCACAGAAGCAGCACCGGCUAACUACGUGCCAGCAGCCGCGGUAAUACGUAGGGUGCGAGCGUUAAUCGGAAUUACUGGGCGNAAAGCGUGCGCAGGCGGCNCACUAAGACAGAGGUGAAAUCCCCGGGCUUAACCUGGGAACUGCGUUUGUGACUGGUGGGCUUGAGUGCGGCAGAGGGGGGUGGAAUUCCACGUGUAGCAGUGAAAUGCGUAGAGAUGUGGAGGAACACCGAUGGCGAAGGCAGCCCCCUGGGUCGACACUGACGCUCAUGCACGAAAGCGUGGGGAGCAAA
RNAcentral lists this ribosomal RNA (410 nucleotides) under uncultured bacterium. RNAcentral describes it as "bacterial SSU rRNA". It matches the Rfam family "Bacterial small subunit ribosomal RNA", at positions 370 to 772 of the family's 1533-position model. The record is from RNAcentral.